UGGGGAAUUUUGCGCAAUGGGGGAAACCCUGACGCAGCAACGCCGCGUGGGUGAUGAAGGCCUUCGGGUCGUAAAGCCCUGUCGGGAGGGAAGAAAUGAUUGAGAGCUAAUACCUCUUGGUCUUGACGGUACCUCCGAAGGAAGCACCGGCUAACUCCGUGCCAGCAGCCGCGGUAAUACGGAGGGUGCAAGCGUUGUUCGGAAUUAUUGGGCGUAAAGCGCGUGUAGGCGGUCUUUUAAGUCUGAUGUGAAGGCCCCGGGCUCAACCUGGGAAGUGCAUUGGAAACUGGGAGACUUGAGUACGGGAGAGGAGAGUGGAAUUCCUAGUGUAGGAGUGAAAUCCGUAGAUAUUAGGAGGAACACCGGUGGCGAAGGCGGCUCUCUGGACCGAUACUGACGCUGAGACGCGAAAGCGUGGGUAGCAAACAGGAUUAGAUACCCUGGUAGUCCACGCCGUAAACGAUGAGUACUAGGUGUUGCGGGUAUUGACCCCUGCAGUGCCGUAGCUAACGCAUUAAGUACU
Molecule: ribosomal RNA, 523 nt
Filed under: uncultured delta proteobacterium
Lineage: Bacteria; Deltaproteobacteria
Description: bacterial SSU rRNA
Rfam family: Bacterial small subunit ribosomal RNA
Source: RNAcentral